Molecule: non-coding RNA, 30 nt
Filed under: Homo sapiens (human)
Lineage: Eukaryota; Metazoa; Chordata; Mammalia; Primates; Hominidae
Source: RNAcentral
UGCGCAUGGAAAUGUUCUGCCCCUCAGUGA